This 247-nucleotide ribosomal RNA is filed under the name uncultured crenarchaeote. Its description in RNAcentral is "partial 16S ribosomal RNA". It matches the Rfam family "Archaeal small subunit ribosomal RNA", at positions 478 to 725 of the family's 1478-position model. Lineage: Archaea; Thermoproteati; Thermoproteota. The record is from RNAcentral.
AGCUCUCCGAGUGGUGUGGAUGUUUAUUGGGCCUAAAGCAUCCGUAGCUGGCUAAGUUAGUCCCUUGUUAAAUCCACCGAAUUAAUCGUUGGAUUGCGGGGGAUACUGCUUGGCUAGGGGACGAGAGAGGCAGACGGUAUUUUUGGGGUAGGGGUGAAAUCCUAUAAUCCCAGGAAGACCACCAGUGGCGAAGGCUGUCUGCUAGAACGCGCCCGACGGUGAGGGAUGAACGCUGGGGGAGCGAACC